This 440-nucleotide ribosomal RNA is filed under the name uncultured bacterium. Its description in RNAcentral is "partial 16S ribosomal RNA". It matches the Rfam family "Bacterial small subunit ribosomal RNA", at positions 338 to 795 of the family's 1533-position model. The record is from RNAcentral.
CCUACGGGCGACAGCAGUGGGGAAUAUUGCACAAUGGGGGAAACCCUGAUGCAGCGACGCCGCGUGAGUGAAGAAGUAUUUCGGUAUGUAAAGCUCUAUCAGCAGGGAAGAAAAUGACGGUACCUGAUUAAGAAGCCCCGGCUAACUACGUGCCAGCAGCCGCGGUAAUACGUAGGGGGCAAGCGUUAUCCGGAUUUACUGGGUGUAAAGGGAGCGUAGACGGCAGCACAAGUCUGGAGGGAAAUGCCGGGGCUUAACCCCGGAACUGCUUUGGAAACUGUGCAUCUAGAGUGCAGGAGAGGUAUGCGGAAUGCGUGGUGUAGCGGUGAAAUGCGUAGAUAUUACGAAGAACACCAGUUGCGAAGGCGGCUUACUGGACUCUAACUGACGCUGAGGCUCGAAAGCGUGGGGAGCAAACAGGAUUAGAUACCCCAGUAGUC